GGCAUAAUGGCUUAGCUGGUUUGAGCGUUGCUAUAAUCUACAGGUCUUGUGGCAGACCCUGGGUUCGAUUCUCAGUGCGGCCU
Molecule: non-coding RNA, 83 nt
Organism: Plicaturopsis crispa FD-325 SS-3
Lineage: Eukaryota; Fungi; Basidiomycota; Agaricomycetes; Amylocorticiales; Amylocorticiaceae
Source: the annotation of a GenBank genome assembly